AUGAUGACUCUCGGCAACGGAUAUCUCGGCUCUCGCAUCGAUGAAGAACGUAGCGAAAUGCGAUACCUGGUGUGAAUUGCAGAAUCCCGUGAACCAUCGAGUCUUUGAACGCAAGUUGCGCCCGAGGCCACCCGGUCGAGGGCACGCCUGCCUGGGCGUCACGC
Molecule: ribosomal RNA, 164 nt
Filed under: Pinanga javana
Lineage: Eukaryota; Viridiplantae; Streptophyta; Magnoliopsida; Arecales; Arecaceae
Description: 5.8S rRNA
Rfam family: 5.8S ribosomal RNA
About the family: 5.8S ribosomal RNA (5.8S rRNA) is a component of the large subunit of the eukaryotic ribosome. It is transcribed by RNA polymerase I as part of the 45S precursor that also contains 18S and 28S rRNA. Functionally, it is thought that 5.8S rRNA may be involved in ribosome translocation.
Source: RNAcentral